UACGUAGGGGGCAAGCGUUAUCCGGAUUUACUGGGUGUAAAGGGAGCGUAGACGGAAUUGCAAGUCUGAUGUGAAAAUCCGGGGCCCAACCCCGGAACUGCAUUGGAAACUGUAUUUCUAGAGUGUCGGAGAGGCAAGUGGAAUUCCUGGUGUAACGGUGAAAUGCGUAGAUAUCAGGAGGAACACCAGUGGCGAAGGCGGCUUGCUGGACGAUGACUGACGUUGAGGCUCGAAAGCGUGGGGAGCAAACAGG
RNAcentral lists this ribosomal RNA (253 nucleotides) under uncultured bacterium. RNAcentral's name for it is "partial 16S ribosomal RNA". It matches the Rfam family "Bacterial small subunit ribosomal RNA", at positions 524 to 776 of the family's 1533-position model. The record is from RNAcentral.